RNAcentral lists this ribosomal RNA (508 nucleotides) under Thalerosphyrus sinuosus. Its description in RNAcentral is "partial 16S ribosomal RNA". It matches the Rfam family "Bacterial large subunit ribosomal RNA", at positions 1831 to 2601 of the family's 2925-position model. Lineage: Eukaryota; Metazoa; Arthropoda; Insecta; Ephemeroptera; Heptageniidae. The record is from RNAcentral.
CGCCUUUUGUAGGAAUAGAAGGUCUAACCUGCCCACUGAGGAAUUAAAGGGCCGCAGUAUAUUGACUGUGCAAAGGUAGCAUAAUCAUUAGUCUUCUAAUUAAAGGCUGGAAUGAAUGGUUGGACGAGGUGCUAGCUGUCUCACUAAGAUAUUUUGAAUUUAGCUUUUUAGUCAAAAGGCUAAAAUAGAGUUGGAGGACGAGAAGACCCUAUAGAGCUUUACAUCCUAUUUAAUUAGUUUGUUUGGGUAGAUUCUAAUUUAUUAGAAAAGGUGUUUCGUUGGGGUGACGGGAAGAUAGGAAGAACUCUUCUUAAAAAGUAACACAGAUGAGUGAAUAUUUGAUCCAUAGGUAUUGAUUAAAAGACUAAGUUACCUUAGGGAUAACAGCGUAAUCUUUUUUGAGAGUUCUAAUCGACAAGAAGGGUUGCGACCUCGAUGUUGGACUAAGGGUGAUUUUUGGGUGUAGCAGCUCGAAGUUUAGGUCUGUUCGACCUUUGAACCCUUACAU